Dipodomys ordii (Ord's kangaroo rat) is the source of this 75-nucleotide non-coding RNA. The record is from Rfam. Lineage: Eukaryota; Metazoa; Chordata; Mammalia; Rodentia; Heteromyidae.
GUUAAGAUGGCAGAGCCAGGUAAUUGCAUAAGAUUUAAAACUUUAUAACCAGAGGUUCAACUCCUCUUCUUAACA